UAAAGCGCACGCAGGCGGUCUGUCAAGUCGGAUGUGAAAUCCCCGGGCUCAACCUGGGAACUGCAUUCGAAACUGGCAGGCUUGAGUCUUGUAGAGGGGGGUAGAAUUCCAGGUGUAGCGGUGAAAUGCGUAGAGAUCUGGAGGAAUACCGGUGGCGAAGGCGGCCCCCUGGACAAAGACUGACGCUCAGGUGCGAAAGCGUGGGGAGCAAACAGGAUUAGAUACCCUGGUAGUCCACGCCGUAAACGAUGUCUACUUGGAGGUUGUGCCCUUGAGGCGUGGCUUCCGGAGCUAACGCGUUAAGUAGACCGCCUGGGGAGUACGGCCGCAAGGUUAAAACUCAAAUGAAUUGACGGGGGCCCGCACAAGCGGUGGAGCAUGUGGUUUAAUUCGAUGCAACGCGAAGAACCUUACCUGGUCUUGACAUCCACAGAACUUUCCAGAGAUGGAUUGGUGCCUUCGGGAACUGUGAGACAGGUGCUGCAUGGCUGUCGUCAGCUCGUGUUGUGAAAUGUUGGGUUAAGUCCCGCAACGAGCGCAAC
RNAcentral lists this ribosomal RNA (542 nucleotides) under Salmonella enterica. RNAcentral describes it as "bacterial SSU rRNA". It matches the Rfam family "Bacterial small subunit ribosomal RNA", at positions 561 to 1102 of the family's 1533-position model. The record is from RNAcentral. Lineage: Bacteria; Pseudomonadati; Pseudomonadota; Gammaproteobacteria; Enterobacterales; Enterobacteriaceae.